UAAAAAGCUCGUAGUUGGAUCUGUGUUUCGGACGGUCGGUUCGCCGCUCGCGGCGUUCAACUGGCCGGUCCGUACGUCCUGCCGGUGGGCGGGGCUGGGGCGCGAGCCUCGGCCCCUGCCCGACAAAAUCCCUCCGCUGCUGCUCUUCACCGGGUGGUGCGGCGGGCCGGCACGUUUACUUUGAACAAAUCCGAGUGCUCAAAGCAGGCUGCUUGUCGCCUGAAGGUUGUGUGCAUGGAAUAAUGGAAUAGGACCUCUGUUCUAUUUUGUUGGCUUUUCUGAACCAGAGGUAAUGAUUAAUAGGGACAGACGGGGGCAUUCGUAUUGCGGCGUUAGAGGUGAAAUUCUUGGAUCGUCGCAAGACGUACCGAUGCGAAAGCGUUUGCCAAGAAUGUUUUCGCUAAUCAAGAACGAAAGUUAGAGGUUCGAAGGCGAUCAGAUACCGCCCUAGUUCUAACCAUAAACGAUGCCAGCCAGCGAUGCGCCGACGUUCCUCCGAUGACUCGGCGCGCAGCUUCCCGGGAAACCAAAGCUUUUGGGUUCCGGGG
This 548-nucleotide ribosomal RNA is filed under the name Uracanthella chinoi. RNAcentral describes it as "bacterial SSU rRNA". It matches the Rfam family "Eukaryotic small subunit ribosomal RNA", at positions 620 to 1119 of the family's 1831-position model. The record is from RNAcentral. Lineage: Eukaryota; Metazoa; Arthropoda; Insecta; Ephemeroptera; Ephemerellidae.